Molecule: ribosomal RNA, 467 nt
Filed under: uncultured bacterium
Lineage: Bacteria
Description: partial 16S ribosomal RNA
Rfam family: Bacterial small subunit ribosomal RNA
Source: RNAcentral
GAUGAACGCUGGCGGCGUGCUUAACACAUGCAAGUCGAACGGAAAGGCCCAAGUUUGGUUGGGUACUCGAGUGGCGAACGGGUGAGUAACACGUGUGUGAUCUGCCCUGCACUUCGGGAUAAGCCUGGGAAACUGGGUCUAAUACCGGAUAGGACCACUUCCUGGAUGUUGUGGUGGAAAGUUUUUUCGGUGUGGGAUGAGCUCGCGGCCUAUCAGCUUGUUGGUGGGGUAAUGGCGUACCAAGGCGUUGACGGGUAGCCGGCCUGGGAGGGUGUACGGCCACAUUGGGACUGAGAUACGGCCCAGACUCCUACGGGAGGCAGCAGUGGGGAAUAUUGCACAAUGGGCGGAAGCCUGAUGCAGCGACGCCGCGUGGGGGAUGACGGCCUUCGGGUUGUAAACCCCUUUCGCUAGGGACGAAGCGUUGUGUGACGGUACCGGGUAAAGAAGCACCGGCUAACUACGUG